This 957-nucleotide long non-coding RNA is filed under the name Prunus persica (peach). Its description in RNAcentral is "long non-coding RNA (PPER_LNC005666)". The record is from RNAcentral. Lineage: Eukaryota; Viridiplantae; Streptophyta; Magnoliopsida; Rosales; Rosaceae.
CAUCUUCUUAUAAUUGAGAACAUUAAGAAUACCAUUUUUUGUAAUUGCUUUUCAAGAUGUUUCUUUUUGUUUUGAUCUUCACUCUGCUCCAGCGCUUUGCUAAUAUCUUUCUUAAUAUCUUUCCAGUGAACAUCAAACUUGGUCAAGGCUUUUUCCUCCCCUAAGAAUGCCUUCUCAAAGUCGUCACGCAGGUGAUGAAUAUCUUGCCGCCAUCUUGCUAUUUUGACAACAUAAUAAAAUGGAAAAUAAAGGAAAAUACUAGAAGAAAAUAAAACUGAAUGCAGUAAAACCAAAUUUAAAGAUCAUUCUUUGAUUAGGAAAAGCAAUUUGGGAAUCCACCACGAUUCUUUCAUAAAUGUUUUCUCAACAACCAAACAAUGUAUUUCAUUUUGUUAACAUCGCAUACAGGCAAAAUCAUCAAUAUGCAAACCAGAAUGUCCUCAGAAAAUCUUCUGUUGGCUGCCCAGAAAAACAAAACCCCAACUUUGCCCACUUACAGAAGUAAUUUGAAUCACAAGCUCAAAUAGCCGUUUUGAGAAAGCAGCAGCAAAACCCACUUCCAAGACAAUUGAUUUUGUGUAAGAAACGUAUUGUUGCUUACCGUUUAGAUCUUAGAAUUAGUUAAGACAAAACUCAAACUCACCAAUAUCCAUUUCUUCUGAAGUGCUGCAAAGAGAGACAAAAAUAAUAAUAUCAAAAUUAAACCCCGUCUCCAAAACAAGUGAACAAGGAAAUAAGGAACCCAGACAUACAGGACUGAGAGCACUACCGCUAAUCUCUUAUUUUUCUGACAUUUUCUCAGCCAAACAAUAGAUUUCAUUUUUGAACAAUAAGAAACCAUACAAGAUCGUCAUACAGAAACAUGUAAGCGAACCAGAAUCUCUUUGCUACCUUCUCCCUUUUCUUUCUUUGCACUCACCUUUUCUUGUCUUGGAACACUUCUCUUUUAUUUCUUUG